RNAcentral lists this long non-coding RNA (351 nucleotides) under Setaria viridis. RNAcentral's name for it is "long non-coding RNA (SVIR_LNC006670)". Lineage: Eukaryota; Viridiplantae; Streptophyta; Magnoliopsida; Poales; Poaceae. The record is from RNAcentral.
GGGUGUGGACGUGUGGGGAGAGACAACUUCUCCACUAGAUUCGUGCUUGCCAAGUUGUUGCAGCUGUCACCGUCAAUAAUGAUGCGAACAGAUCGUUCUUGCACAACGCCUUUGGUGACGAACAAGGUGUGGCACUAGUUCUACUCUGGUUGUGCAACCUGCGUGCUUAGAACGCGCUGCACAACAAGACUCUCAUACUUGUCGGUGUCAGUGGCAGCCACAUGUUCUUCUUCGAUUCCUGCAAUGUCAGUGGCAAGCAUAGCAUAUAUGGUUUCUUCAGAAUCACAAGCUGAAGAAUACUCACCAUUGUCACGUAUAAUCAGCGUGCGCUUGUUGGGGCAGUCCCGUAUC